This 468-nucleotide ribosomal RNA is filed under the name uncultured bacterium. Its description in RNAcentral is "partial 16S ribosomal RNA". It matches the Rfam family "Bacterial small subunit ribosomal RNA", at positions 28 to 507 of the family's 1533-position model. The record is from RNAcentral.
GACGAACGCUGGCGGCGUGCUUAACACAUGCAAGUCGAACGGAAAGGCCCUGCUUUUGUGGGGUGCUCGAGUGGCGAACGGGUGAGUAACACGUGAGUAACCUGCCCUUGACUUUGGGAUAACUUCAGGAAACUGGGGCUAAUACCGGAUAGGAGCUCCUGCUGCAUGGUGGGGGUUGGAAAGUUUCGGCGGUUGGGGAUGGACUCGCGGCUUAUCAGCUUGUUGGUGGGGUAGUGGCUUACCAAGGCUUUGACGGGUAGCCGGCCUGAGAGGGUGACCGGCCACAUUGGGACUGAGAUACGGCCCAGACUCCUACGGGAGGGAGCAGGGGGGAAUAUUGCACAAUGGGCGGAAGCCUGAUGCAGCAACGCCGCGUGCGGGAUGAAGGCCUUUGGGGUGUAAACCGCUUUCGCCUGUGACGAAGCGGGAGGGACGGUAAUGGGUAAAGAAGCACCGGCUAACUACGUG